Molecule: ribosomal RNA, 292 nt
Filed under: uncultured bacterium
Lineage: Bacteria
Description: partial 16S ribosomal RNA
Rfam family: Bacterial small subunit ribosomal RNA
Source: RNAcentral
GGAUUAGAUACCCUGGUAGUCCACGCCGUAAACGAUGAGAACUAGAUGUCGGGAGGGUUGCCUUUCGGUGUCGCAGCUAACGCGUUAAGUUCUCCGCCUGGGGAGUACGCCGGCAACGGUAAAACUCAAAGGAAUUGACGGGGACCCGCACAAGCGGUGGAGCAUGUGGUUUAAUUCGAUGCAACGCGAAGAACCUUACCUGCCCUUGACAUACUCGGAACUUUCCAGAGAUGGAUUGGUGCCUUCGGGAAUCGAGAUACAGGUGCUGCAUGGCUGUCGUCAGCUCGUGCCG